GCCGGGCAUGGUGGCUCAUGCCUGUAAUCUCAGCUCUUUGGGAGGCCGAGGCAGGUGGAUCACCUGAGGUCAGGAGUUCGAGGCCAGCCUGGCCAACAUGGAGAAACCCUGUCUCUA
This is an unclassified non-coding RNA of Pongo abelii (Sumatran orangutan), 117 nucleotides long. It matches the Rfam family "Metazoan signal recognition particle RNA". From Rfam's summary of the family: The signal recognition particle (SRP) is a universally conserved ribonucleoprotein. It is involved in the co-translational targeting of proteins to membranes. The record is from Ensembl. Lineage: Eukaryota; Metazoa; Chordata; Mammalia; Primates; Hominidae.